This 700-nucleotide ribosomal RNA is filed under the name uncultured bacterium. Its description in RNAcentral is "bacterial SSU rRNA". It matches the Rfam family "Bacterial small subunit ribosomal RNA", at positions 8 to 695 of the family's 1533-position model. The record is from RNAcentral.
AGAGUUUGAUCCUGGCUCAGGACGAACGCUGGCGGCGCGCCUAACACAUGCAAGUCGAGCGAGAACCAGGGCUUCGGCCCCGGGGACAGCGGCGAACGGGUGAGUAACACGUGGAUAACCUGCCCUCGGCACCGGAAUAGCCCGGGGAAACCCGGAUUAAUGCCGGAUAGCCCCUUCCUCCUGCGGGAGGUCGGGAAAAGGUAGCUUCGGCCUCUGGCCGAGGAUGGGUCCGCGGCGGAUUAGCUAGUUGGCGGGGUAAUGGCCCACCAAGGCGACGAUCCGUAGCUGGUUUGAGAGGACGAUCAGCCACACUGGGACUGAGACACGGCCCAGACUCCUACGGGAGGCAGCAGUGGGGAAUCUUGCGCAAUGGGCGAAAGCCUGACGCAGCGACGCCGCGUGCGGGAAGAAGGCCUUCGGGUUGUAAACCGCUUUCAGGAGGGACGAAGCCACUCGGGUGAACAGCCCAGAGGGUGACGGUACCUCCAGAAGAAGCCCCGGCUAACUACGUGCCAGCAGCCGCGGUAAUACGUAGGGGGCAAGCGUUACUCGGAAUUACUGGGCGUAAAGGGUGUGUAGGCGGCUGGGCAAGUCGGAGAUGAAAUCCCGAGGCUUAACUUCGGAACUGUCUUCGAUACUGCUCAGCUUGAGGGCAGCGGAGGAGAAUGGAAUUCCCGGUGGAGCGGUGAAAUGCGUAGAU